CGCGAGGCGAGCGUCAGAGGCGCGUGCGGCUCGCGCUCCCCGUCGAGCGAAACUGCGCCACCGGCCGCACCUCCGACACGUACAAGUAACGGAAACUUCAUUCUCGUUGUGCGAAAUGUCGAAUGUCGAACAGUUUUUGAGGAAAGAAUUUGCCUUCGAAAGCUGAGGGGUGGGCGUGUGUGUAUCAGUCGGUAAACCGCCGGACCGAAACUGACGAGUUUCGAGCUACGACGACGGUCGUCCCUUGUAAACUCUCCCUGCAGGCCUGGUAACACCGACACGGCCCCCGUCGUGGAAUGCAACGGCACCUGGGCUCCUGCUAGCGACCGUGAGCUGAUGCAUUUAUCUGGUGUGGUGCUGACCUUCUGCGGCCAAGUGGGAACCAAAGACACAUCUACUCUUGUGGUGCACAAGCUCUCCAGUGGCAAGAGGAGCGACAGACACCUGGACUGGACUGCGCACAGGUCCCGCGGACCCAGUGUGCUCUGCUGCCUGGCUGAACAGUGCCUUAAACUGGGAGCCCCUGACUAUGUGGUCAUUAGAAAACCCAUGACAGUCGGGGUGAGAGGACAACUGCACUCUGUACUCCUCCACGUUCGCCUGGAAUUCAGCUGCUCCACCUGGUCUGCUGUGCUGUGGGGAUGCUAUGUUUUCCAGGUGAAAUCCCACCGAUCACACGGCUGA
RNAcentral lists this long non-coding RNA (684 nucleotides) under Lepisosteus oculatus (spotted gar). RNAcentral's name for it is "lncRNA (ENSLOCG00000022594.1)". The record is from RNAcentral. Lineage: Eukaryota; Metazoa; Chordata; Actinopteri; Semionotiformes; Lepisosteidae.